RNAcentral lists this long non-coding RNA (1400 nucleotides) under Olea europaea subsp. europaea. Lineage: Eukaryota; Viridiplantae; Streptophyta; Magnoliopsida; Lamiales; Oleaceae. The record is from RNAcentral.
AUUUUUGAUAGAAUUCCCAAAAAGCCCCUACCUUAUCUGAUUCCUCAAAACCUUCUCUUUGCACAAGAAAUCGCCAUACAAUACUCUGUCUAAUUGAAAUCCUCUGACGACCGACAGUGAGUCGGCGACGAUGAGCAGAUCGAGUGAGACAAACGUAUGACGGCAUCUUUAACUUGACUAUGCGUAGUUUUAAAAUGGUUUUCAUUUCUGUUUUGGUGGAUUUCUUCAUUUUUUUGUUUGGGUCGAAAUUUUCGAAGUUCUAUACCUUGCUUUUCGCUGGACAUGAAAUGGGUAGAUUUCACUUCCUAUUUGUGUGUGUGUGUGUGUGUGGGCUGAAUCCUCUGCGUAUAUCGUAUCAAUGCUUCAAUUAUCGGGUAAUGUAAAAUGGUUUAGUGUUUGAUUAUUUGGAGUUAGAAUUUUAUUUAUUUAUUUAUUUAUUGUGUGUGAUAGCGUAUUGAUUUUGCCUUGGGUUGCUGUAAAUUUCAUAAUUUUCUGAGCUUUUUACUGCCCUUUUUGAAAAUAUAAUUGAGGGUUUCUUGUGGAUAAACAAUGGCGUUAAACGAAGGAGAAAAAGAGAUUUGACUGGACUAACUGCUCUUAAUUUUCUCUUUAUGUUUUUGUGGACUGCAUUUGCUUUUAUAUUUUUGUAAAGAUCCUUGACGAGUUUGUUAUAUUUAGUUUGGUCUAUCAUCUAGAUUUAUGUCAAAAUAUAUGGCUGCCUUGCAUAAACUGUCGUAUAUAAUCUAAAUCCUAUUCUUCUCAUCUUGGGCCUAGUGAGAUGGUACAGUCUAACAAAGAAUACACCGAGGAGGAUCUAAGAGACCAAGUGGUUAAAAGGAUCCCAUUCGAGUCAUCCGAGCAGGGACCCUUUCACUUUCCUGGGUUACGUGGUGAUAUUGAAGCCAUUGAACGUAAUUUCUUUUGGUGGUAUCAACCAUUUCUUUGAAGCAGCCGAAGAGAUGAAGAAUGAUUUCUUUAGUGCAAUAGCGGUUCCUUUGGAAUUUCAGCAAUCAAAUGACAUUAUAUAGUUGGACAUUUCAAUUUUCAAAUCUGUGGAUGUGAAUGUAACUCUUCAACCAUUAUGACACAACUAAAUUUUUUUUACGUUGCCUGCUUCUAAAUGUGAAUACCAAUUGCCAUAAACAAUAGAAAUUCCCACAUUUUAAAUAGUCCAACCAUCAUUUUAAACAACACAUUUCAGAUUACAUAAACUGCCUGCUUCUCACUGUGAUUUCACAAACUGAAACCACAAAAAUUCCCACAUUUUUAACAACACAAAUUCCCAUAUUUCUAUCACCAAGUUAGUUCCACAUUAGUUUUCAAAUUGCCUGCUUCUCGUUGAUCAUGUUGUUGGACAUGGUUUGUGACUCUACUUCAAUCUGGAUACAUUUCUCUGCAUU